This 441-nucleotide ribosomal RNA is filed under the name uncultured bacterium. Its description in RNAcentral is "partial 16S ribosomal RNA". It matches the Rfam family "Bacterial small subunit ribosomal RNA", at positions 338 to 795 of the family's 1533-position model. The record is from RNAcentral.
CCUACGGGGGGCAGCAGUGGGGGAUAUUGCACAAUGGGGGGAACCCUGAUGCAGCGACGCCGCGUGGGUGAAGGAGUAUUUCGGUAUGUAAAGCCCUAUCGGCAGGGAAGAAUUUAGACGGUACCUGACUAAGAAGCCCCGGCUAACUACGUGCCAGCAGCCGCGGUAAUACGUAGGGGGCAAGCGUUAUCCGGAUUCACUGGGUGUAAAGGGAGCGUAGACGGCCAGGCAAGCCUGGAGUGAAAGCCCGGGGCCCAACCCCGGGACUGCUCUGGGAACUGUCCGGCUGGAGGGCGGGAGGGGCAGGCGGAAUUCCUGGGGUAGCGGUGAAAUGCGGAGAUAUCAGGAGGAACACCGGCGGCGAAGGCGGCCUGCUGGACCGCGACUGACGUUGAGGCUCGAAAGCGUGGGGAGCAAACAGGAUUAGAUACCCGAGUAGUC